RNAcentral lists this unclassified non-coding RNA (275 nucleotides) under Oryza sativa (Asian cultivated rice). RNAcentral's name for it is "partial microRNA MIR451a precursor". The record is from RNAcentral. Lineage: Eukaryota; Viridiplantae; Streptophyta; Magnoliopsida; Poales; Poaceae.
UUAAAACCACUGAGGGACCUAAUUUAUACUGGUUUUGUAAGUUUGGAGAUGCGUUAUAUCCGGUUUUGCGGUUGGGGGAUGAUUUUGUAACUGGAUGAUAAGUUGAGGGACCUUCGGUGUACUUUUUCCCUCAUGAAAUGUUGAUUUAGGAAAAAGUACACCCAAUAUCUCUCAACUUGUCAGUGAGAUAAAAACGUCCUCGAACCGCAAAACCAGAUAUAUAGGGUCCCUUAACUAUACAAAACCGGUCACCCGAGAUCUUUCGGUGGUUUUGA